CCUACGGGGGGCCGCAGUGGGGAAUAUUGGGCAAUGGGCGCAAGCCUGACCCAGCAACGCCGCGUGAAGGAAGAAGGCUUUCGGGUUGUAAACUUCUUUUCUCAGGGACGAAGCAUGUGACGGUACCUGCGGAAUAAGCCACGGCUAACUACGUGCCAGCAGCCGCGGUAAUACGUAGGUGGCAAGCGUUAUCCGGAUUUACUGGGUGUAAAGGGCGUGUAGGCGGGACUGCAAGUCAGAUGUGAAAACCACGGGGUAAACAUGUGGCCUGCAUUUGAAAAUGUAGUUCUUGAGUACUGGAGAGGCAGACGGAAUUCCUAGUGUAGCGGUGAAAUGCGUAGAUAUUAGGAGGAACACCAGUGGCGAAGGCGGUCUGCUGGACAGCAACUGACGCUGAGGCGCGAAAGCGUGGGGAGCAAACAGGAUUAGAUACCCCAGUAGUC
RNAcentral lists this ribosomal RNA (443 nucleotides) under uncultured bacterium. RNAcentral describes it as "partial 16S ribosomal RNA". It matches the Rfam family "Bacterial small subunit ribosomal RNA", at positions 338 to 795 of the family's 1533-position model. The record is from RNAcentral.